RNAcentral lists this long non-coding RNA (2404 nucleotides) under Equus caballus (horse). Its description in RNAcentral is "lncRNA (ENSECAG00000048698.1)". The record is from RNAcentral. Lineage: Eukaryota; Metazoa; Chordata; Mammalia; Perissodactyla; Equidae.
CAAGGCACCUUUGCAAACAUUGCAUAGAAAGAAACCCCUGCAGAUGCUUGUAUUUUCUUAUUGUGAAUCAUGGGAAUUGUGAGUUUUCUUGGUUUUCCUAUGUUUGUCCCUCCCAAACCCAAUCGUUCUCUGCUCCUCCCUGCCCUGUUUGUGACCCAGGACCCUGACCCCUAUGACCUGUAUCACCUGGAAUUCUUGAGCUCUGACUUCCAAGUGAGUUUGGGCAAUGGGAGGCCCCAGCAGGAGACUGGAGGGUGAGAGGAGGAAGUUGGGGUAUUUCUUACCUUGCUCCUUUCCUGUGUCUGAGCUAUAGGUCAGCAGUGGCUGCAAUUCACUCAGCCAAGAGUCCUGCCUGGGCAUCCUUCUUUGGUUCCAGGCACACCCUUUCCUCUCUGACCCUGUAGCCUAGAGCACUGGUUAUGGCCUUCCGGCUUCCUGCUGUUGCUAGUACGAGGGUUACUCACCAUUCCUUUCAGAGUCCCUUAAUCCUGCCCCUGCCCCUGUAACAUAGUACUUUCCUUAAAUUCUCUGUAGAAUCUCAUCUGAGUGUGCCUUCUCUUUCUUCAUAGGUCCGGGCCUUCAUCCACACACGUUGCAGGAUUUUGAGAGACUGAGCCUUUUUCCUUCCCCUUUCAGUGUCAAUAGGUAUAAAUGUCCAGACCAGUAUGGAUCCUAUAUGUUAACUAGGAGAAAGCAGGAACAGUUUGCAGACACCUGAAUAAGUGGCACAGCCUGGAUUCAAAGUUGCAAUUCAAAGCUAGAUCUGCCACAUUCUGUGCAGGCGAAGAUCACCCAAAGCAUGGAGAUGCAGGCCUGAGACCUUGUGUGCCUUCAAAGAGCUGACUGGUGAGAGAGGGUAAGGAAGCAGUCAUCCGGAAUCAGGAUAGCAGUUGGCAUAGUGGGUAAAAAAUGCAGCAGGGUCUUAGGAUCUGAGAAAUGGUGCCCAAGUUGGGCUGGAACAGUGGGAGGAUGUGGCAGGAAGCUUAGUCAAGAAUGGGAAAGAGGGGUUGGCCUGGUGGCAUAGUGGUUAAGUUUGUGUGCUCUGCUUCAGUGGCCUGGGGUUCACCAGUUUGGAUGCUGGGUGUGGACCUACACACUGCUCAUGAAGGCAUGCUGUGGUGGAAUCCCACAUAGAAAAUAGAGGAAGAUUGGCAUAGAUGUUAGCUCAGUGACAAUCUUCCUCACCAAAAAAAUGAAUGGAAACGAGACUUGAGCUCAUGAAAAGAUAAAUUGGUGUGACAAGUGAUAACAUAGCAGAAAGCUUUCUCGGGGCCAGCUCCGUGGCCAAGUGGUUAAGUUUGCGUGCUCCACUUCAGUGGCCCAGGGUUUUGCUGGUUCAGAUCCUGAGCGCAGACAUGGCACUGCUCAUCAAGCCAUGCUGAGGUGGCAUCCCACCAUAGCACAGAAAGAGGCACUCACAACUAGAAUAUACAACUAUGUACUGGGGGGCUUUGGAGAGAAGAGGAAGGAAAAAAAAGAUUGGCAACAUAUGUUAGCUCGGAUGACUAUCUUUAAAAAAAAAAAAGGCUUUCUCUGCCACCUGUUUCUACUUCUACACUUUCCUUGAUCUUUGGCUAAAGAGGGAGCUUGAGAUUCGGGAAGAGCACCCAGUAUGAAGAAACAGAAUGAAUUGCACUCAGAAGUUGAAUAUCAUGUUCUUGGGGAAAACAGAGGCUCUUGUGUUAAAAUAGAAAUUGAAAGUGGUUGCUGGGAGCUUCACCAGCUUUGUUUAAUAGUAGCAAGCUGGUGAUAGAAUUGACACUAUAGCAAUUUCUUCCAUUCAGGGCUGUUGUGAGCAGCUUUACUACAGAAACACUUUUCAGCCCGAUACCUUGAUCAGAUCCAUUUUACUUCCAGCUGGGAAGAGGCUGAAGUUUAAGUGCACCUGCCCGAUGUGUUCUGGUGGGAGCACACGCAAUCCAUCUCCUCUGCAGGUUGUCUGCGUCGUCCAGAGUUCUCCUAGAGACCAGUGCCUGUUAGCAGCAGGUAAUAAACGUGUGGAAGCAAAUGCUUUCAUUACCCCCGUUAUGAUGUGUCCCAGCAUUCCUCGGACAGCCCGACUUGCCUUUUAUGCCAGAGUAAUAUUUGCUCAUCUAAGAAGCUAGGCUCAAAGUACAAGGAGAAUUGAGAUGAAACUGGCAUGCAACACUGACACAAGAGCUUUGUGUGUCCACAGUACAGAGAAACCUCAUUGGUGUUAUAUUCUGCACAGCCCAGUUUGUUUAGAAAGAGCAUCAGAGGGCUGGAAAUGGCCUCUGGGAGUCAGCUUUCUGCUUGUUGGCUGCUUUCAUAGGAACUGGACUUUUCGUUUCCCUGUUCAACAAAUGUUUGUUGGGUGGUUGCUUCACUUGUCCAGGCCCAAGUGGUCUCUGCCACCAGGAGGGAGCAUGAAGUCUCAUGGGGG